Molecule: ribosomal RNA, 293 nt
Filed under: uncultured bacterium
Lineage: Bacteria
Description: partial 16S ribosomal RNA
Rfam family: Bacterial small subunit ribosomal RNA
Source: RNAcentral
GGAUUAGAUACCCUGGUAGUCCACGCCGUAAACGAUGAGAACUAGGUGUUGGGGGAAUGACCCCUUCAGUGCCGAAGCUAACGCAUUAAGUUCUCCGCCUGGGGAGUACGGUCGCAAGAUUAAAACUCAAAGAAAUUGACGGGGGCCCGCACAAGCGGUGGAGCAUGUGGUUUAAUUCGACGCAACGCGAAGAACCUUACCUGGGCUUGACAUCCAAGGAAUUUGCUAGAGAUAGCGAAGUGCCUUCGGGAGCCUUGAGACAGGUGCUGCAUGGCUGUCGUCAGCUCGUGCCG